RNAcentral lists this unclassified non-coding RNA (333 nucleotides) under Zea mays. RNAcentral's name for it is "misc RNA Zm00001eb143380". The record is from RNAcentral. Lineage: Eukaryota; Viridiplantae; Streptophyta; Magnoliopsida; Poales; Poaceae.
GUCACAUGGGACAUUAUCACAUAGGAUGAAAGAGAAUGGGAUCACAGGGUCUUCUUCCACCUCUCUCUCCUCUUCUAAUCGUGCACACAUAGCAGGAAGUGGAACCGCCCCAUGGUCGGCCAAGCAGGGAAGGGGGGUUCGCCGCUGGCAAGGGGCAUGGGCGCCGCCCACACGUGCCCAGGGGAGUCGCUGCCACACCCGACAAGGGAAGGCCGCGCCCGGCCUGGGGACGAGGGCCAGCCCCGCCUGGCCUACUCGUUGCUCUGCAGCAGGGGCAACGGGGGUGCUCGGCCAGGGAGCCCACCCGGCGCUGCACACGAAGGGUCGCGCCCG